GACGAACGCUGGCGGCGUGCUUAACGCAUGCAAGUCGAACGGAAAGGCCCUGCUUGCAGGGUACUCGAGUGGCGAACGGGUGAGUAACACGUGGGUGAUCUGCCCUGCACUUCGGGAUAAGCCUGGGAAACUGGGUCUAAUACCGGAUAGGAGCCAUUUUUAGUGUGAUGGUUGGAAAGUUUUUUCGGUGUAGGAUGAGCUCGCGGCCUAUCAGCUUGUUGGUGGGGUAAUGGCCUACCAAGGCGGCGACGGGUAGCCGGCCGGGGAGGGUGGGCGGCCACAGUGGGAGGGAGAGGCGCACGGGCCCCCGCGGGGGGGGGGAGGGGGGAAUAGUGCAACGAGGGGUGCAGGCCGGAGGCAGCGGCGCGGCGGGGGGGAUGCCGGCUUUGGGUUGAAAGCCUCCUUGCGCUGGGAACAAGGCUUUUUGGGAGGGUACCUAGAAAAAAGGCCCGGGCAAGCCCGGGC
Molecule: ribosomal RNA, 465 nt
Filed under: uncultured bacterium
Lineage: Bacteria
Description: partial 16S ribosomal RNA
Rfam family: Bacterial small subunit ribosomal RNA
Source: RNAcentral